GACGAACGCUGGCGGCGUGCUUAACACAUGCAAGUCGAACGGAAAGGCCCUGCUUUUGUGGGGUGCUCGAGUGGCGAACGGGUGAGUAACACGUGAGUAACCUGCCCUUGACUUUGGGAUAACUUCAGGAAACUGGGGCUAAUACCGGAUAGGAGCUCCUGCUGCAUGGUGGGGGUUGGAAAGUUUCGGCGGUUGGGGAUGGACUCGCGGCUUAUCAGCUUGUUGGUGGGGUAGUGGCUUACCAAGGCUUUGACGGGUAGCCGGCCUGAGAGGGUGACCGGCGACAUUGGGACUGAGAGAGGGCCCAGACGCCUACGGGAGGCAGCAGGGGGGAAUAUUGCACAAUGGGCGGAAGCCUGAUGCAGCAACGCCGGGUGCGGGAUGACGGCCUUCGGGUGGUAAACCGCUUUCGCCUGUGACGAAGCGGGAGUGACGGUAAUGGGUAAAGAAGCACCGGCUAACUACGUG
RNAcentral lists this ribosomal RNA (468 nucleotides) under uncultured bacterium. RNAcentral describes it as "partial 16S ribosomal RNA". It matches the Rfam family "Bacterial small subunit ribosomal RNA", at positions 28 to 507 of the family's 1533-position model. The record is from RNAcentral.